This 85-nucleotide transfer RNA is filed under the name Trichoderma reesei QM6a. It matches the Rfam family "tRNA". Rfam says of the family: Transfer RNA (tRNA) molecules are approximately 80 nucleotides in length. Their secondary structure includes four short double-helical elements and three loops (D, anti-codon, and T loops). Further hydrogen bonds mediate the characteristic L-shaped molecular structure. tRNAs have two regions of fundamental functional importance: the anti-codon, which is responsible for specific mRNA codon recognition, and the 3' end, to which the tRNAs corresponding amino acid is attached (by aminoacyl-tRNA synthetases). tRNAs cope with the degeneracy of the genetic code in two manners: having more than one tRNA (with a specific anti-codon) for a particular amino acid; and 'wobble' base-pairing, i.e. permitting non-standard base-pairing at the 3rd anti-codon position. Lineage: Eukaryota; Fungi; Ascomycota; Sordariomycetes; Hypocreales; Hypocreaceae. RNAcentral also lists the same sequence under 2 other names. The record is from Rfam by way of RNAcentral.
GCCAUAAUCAUAUAGUGGUCAUUAUAUCAGUUUGUGGACCAAAGGAGAAACACUGAAAACCGAGGUUCGAUUCCUCGUUAUGGCA